RNAcentral lists this small nucleolar RNA (96 nucleotides) under Ornithorhynchus anatinus (platypus). RNAcentral's name for it is "Small nucleolar SNORD12/SNORD106 (ENSOANG00000018802.2)". It matches the Rfam family "Small nucleolar SNORD12/SNORD106". Rfam says of the family: This family belong to the C/D class of snoRNA which contain the C (UGAUGA) and D (CUGA) box motifs. This family includes the human ortholog of mouse snoRNA HBII-99 and human snoRNA U106. Lineage: Eukaryota; Metazoa; Chordata; Mammalia; Monotremata; Ornithorhynchidae. The record is from Rfam by way of RNAcentral.
UCUGUGGAAAAUGAUGACUUGGAACUUUUUUCCCCAACAGAUCGACAGUGUUGAUCCAAGAAGCAUUUUAGCCAAAACCUGUCUGAUUCCACCAGA